AUAUUUGAUGGGGAUUUAUUUGAAUUAAAAUUCAAAGUAUUUUAAUCUGCUAGACCCUCAUGGAAGAGGCACCUUUGCAGAGUUCCCGCCAUACCCACUGCACUUCAAGCAAAAGCACAGUCACUCUUCCCAUCACUCUACAUAACACCUAAAAGAGUGUUGUGAAGAGGAAAAAAAGAAAAAUUUCACAAAAAAGAGCCAAAUGUCUAUUAACUGAGUGAAAACAUUAACUUUUAAUUUCCCGCCCAGGCCACGCUCUUCAAACCUGUGUGUUUCCCGCACCCCUGGGAAGGCGAAGGGAAGGAGCUACAUUGUCAAGUGUGGUCCAGCAAGUAAGCAGGUCCUGAGCACCAAACAUAUCACAGGCACUCACUGCUUGGACCCACCAGUCAACAGGAGCCUGCUAGAUACAGCCAUGUGCCACUCCAACCUCCCUGAGGGCAUGGCCUAUGCACUAUUUGAUUUUCAGCAUAUCAUCACGAACUCCAUGGGCGUCAAGAAGCAAUGGGUGUGGAUGUAGAAGCAGCCUGGAUUGCAACUGUGGACCCCAAAGGAAAAUGCAAGCUCCUUUCUCAGUUGGUACAGCAAAAUCGACGAAGCUAAUAUGGAUUUUGAUCAAGCAAAUUAGCAUUGAGAUUCCAGUUCUACUAUGUAAUAAAUGGCCUUAAACAAAUUAUUUUUGUGAGUACACAUUUUCUCACUCAGAUAAAUGAAACUAAUAAUGUCUUAACGAGAAAUUAGGAGGAUUAAAAGAGAAGUAUGAAAAGUAUGAACAAUAAUCUAAUACAGAAUCAGUGGGUCUAUAUUUAAAAUUGUCUUCUUCCUUCUGUAGUAAAAACAUAAAGUUGGCCAGGCGCAGUGGCUCACGCCUGUAAUCCCAGCACUUUGGGAGGCCAAGGCGGGCAGGUCACGAGGUCAGAGGGUCGAGACCAUCCUGACUAACACAAUGAAACCCCAUCUCUACUAAAAAUACAAAAAAAUUAGCUGGGCGUGGUGGUGGGCACCUGUAGUCCCAGCUACUCGGGAAGCUGAGGCAGGAGAAUGGCGUGAACCCGGGAGGCGAAGCUUGCAGUGAGCCGAGAUGGUGCCACUGCACGCCAGCCUGGGCGACAGAGCAAGACUCCGUCUCAAAAAAAAAAAAAAAAAAUGUUAAAAAUAGCUAUCAGUAUCUAUUGCUAGUCUAUAUAUGCAAUUUGUUCAAGUGAUUCUUUUCAAAUUAAGAGGAAGAGGAAG
Molecule: long non-coding RNA, 1233 nt
Organism: Pan paniscus (pygmy chimpanzee)
Lineage: Eukaryota; Metazoa; Chordata; Mammalia; Primates; Hominidae
Source: Ensembl